Molecule: ribosomal RNA, 505 nt
Filed under: uncultured bacterium
Lineage: Bacteria
Description: partial 16S ribosomal RNA
Rfam family: Bacterial small subunit ribosomal RNA
Source: RNAcentral
GACGAACGCUGGCGGCGUGCCUAAUACAUGCAAGUAGAACGCACAGUUUAUACCGUAGCUUGCUACACCAUAAACUGUGAGUUGCGAACGGGUGAGUAACGCGUAGGUAACCUGCCUGGUAGCGGGGGAUAACUAUUGGAAACGAUAGCUAAUACCGCAUAAUAUUGAUUAUUGCAUGAUAAUUGAUUGAAAGAUGCUAUUGCAUCACUACCAGAUGGACCUGCGUUGUAUUAGCUAGUAGGUGAGGUAACGGCUCACCUAGGCGACGAUACAUAGCCGACCUGAGAGGGUGAUCGGCCACACUGGGACUGAGACACGGCCCAGACUCCUACGGGAGGCAGCAGUAGGGAAUCUUCGGCAAUGGACGAAAGUCUGACCGAGCAACGCCGCGUGAGUGAAGAAGGUUUUCGGAUCGUAAAGCUCUGUUGUAAGAGAAGAACGGGUGUGAGAGUGGAAAGUUCACACUGUGACGGUAUCUUACCAGAAAUGGACGGCUAACUACGUG